This 211-nucleotide ribosomal RNA is filed under the name uncultured bacterium. RNAcentral's name for it is "partial 16S ribosomal RNA". It matches the Rfam family "Bacterial small subunit ribosomal RNA", at positions 29 to 261 of the family's 1533-position model. The record is from RNAcentral.
AACGAACGCUGGCGGCAUGCCUAACACAUGCAAGUCGAACGGAUGGUCGCAAGACCAUUAGUGGCGGACGGGUGCGUAACGCGUGGGAACCUGCCUUGAAGUUCGGAAUAACUGCGGGAAACUGCAGCUAAUACCGGAUGUGGCCUGUGGGCCAAAGGGGAAACUCGCUUCAAGAGGGGCCCGCGUCCGAUUAGCUAGUUGGCGGGGUAAC